This 85-nucleotide transfer RNA is filed under the name Felis catus (domestic cat). It matches the Rfam family "tRNA". Rfam says of the family: Transfer RNA (tRNA) molecules are approximately 80 nucleotides in length. Their secondary structure includes four short double-helical elements and three loops (D, anti-codon, and T loops). Further hydrogen bonds mediate the characteristic L-shaped molecular structure. tRNAs have two regions of fundamental functional importance: the anti-codon, which is responsible for specific mRNA codon recognition, and the 3' end, to which the tRNAs corresponding amino acid is attached (by aminoacyl-tRNA synthetases). tRNAs cope with the degeneracy of the genetic code in two manners: having more than one tRNA (with a specific anti-codon) for a particular amino acid; and 'wobble' base-pairing, i.e. permitting non-standard base-pairing at the 3rd anti-codon position. Lineage: Eukaryota; Metazoa; Chordata; Mammalia; Carnivora; Felidae. The record is from Rfam by way of RNAcentral.
GCCUGGGUGGCUCAGUCGGUCAAGCAUCUGACUUCAGCUCAGGUCAUGAUCUUACACUCCGUGGGUUCGAGCCCCGCGUUGGGCU